UGGGGAAUUUUGGACAAUGGGCGAAAGCCUGAUCCAGCAAUGCCGCGUGCAGGAUGAAGGCUUUCGGGUUGUAAACUGCUUUUGUACGGAGCGAAAAGGUCUGCCCUAAUACGGUGGGCUCAUGACGGUACCGUAAGAAUAAGCACCGGCUAACUACGUGCCAGCAGCCGCGGUAAUACGUAUGGUGCGAGCGUUAAUCGGAAUUACUGGGCGUAAAGCGUGCGCAGGCGGUUAUGCAAGACAGAGGUGAAAUCCCCGGGCUCAACCUGGGAACUGCCUUUGUGACUGCAUAGCUAGAGUACGGUAGAGGGGGAUGGAAUUCCGCGUGUAGCAGUGAAAUGCGUAGAUAUGCGGAGGAACACCGAUGGCGAAGGCAAUCCCCUGGACCUGUACUGACGCUCAUGCACGAAAGCGUGGGGAGCAAACA
RNAcentral lists this ribosomal RNA (427 nucleotides) under uncultured bacterium. RNAcentral's name for it is "bacterial SSU rRNA". It matches the Rfam family "Bacterial small subunit ribosomal RNA", at positions 355 to 774 of the family's 1533-position model. The record is from RNAcentral.